ACUGUUUGCUUCAGUUUGUAGACAAUAUUUACCAAAAUAAUUGAAAACCGCAUUGAAAAGUUUAGUUCCAAACUUCUAAUUAAUUGAAAUGCUUCUGAAAAUCAAUCUAGACCCUCUAGCUUCUCUCCCCUCAAAACCAGAAAUACCCAAUUCGAGAGUAGUUUGGUUUUCUGCUUUUGAUCAAGAUUUGUAGAAAGACAAAAGGAGAGAGUUUCUGAAGUGGAGGGCUUUGUUUUGGUUUGUUUACUGUCUAUAUAUGUUGCCUUGCCUAACUGAAGCACCUGCUAUAGUCAAGUCCUACUAUGACAAAAGAAUAGUUGGAUGCCCUGGUGUUGAAGUAGUGCACAAGGGGUUCUGUUGUUCUCUUGGACAAUGAUGGUGCAGCUGCAUUAGUGCUAGCUAGUGGGGAGAAGGAACUUGAAUGCAAUAGUGUUAGCAUGUGGAUGUUUUUGGAACAAUGAUAUUGUAUCAGCUUUU
Molecule: long non-coding RNA, 477 nt
Organism: Rosa chinensis
Lineage: Eukaryota; Viridiplantae; Streptophyta; Magnoliopsida; Rosales; Rosaceae
Exons: 3
Source: RefSeq, a predicted model, not a curated record